UACGUAGGGGGCAAGCGUUGUCCGGAUUUAUUGGGCGUAAAGAGCGUGUAGGCGGCCAGAUAGGUCUGUUGUGAAAACUCGAGGCUCAACCUCGAGACGCCGAUGGAAACCAUUUGGCUAGAGUCCGGAAGAGGAGAGUGGAAUUCCCGGUGUAGCGGUGAAAUGCGUAGAUAUCGGGAGGAACAUCAGUUGCGAAGGCGGCUAUCUGGACAUAGACUGACACUGAGGCACGAAAGCGUGGGUAGCAAACAGG
Molecule: ribosomal RNA, 253 nt
Filed under: uncultured bacterium
Lineage: Bacteria
Description: partial 16S ribosomal RNA
Rfam family: Bacterial small subunit ribosomal RNA
Source: RNAcentral